Molecule: long non-coding RNA, 493 nt
Filed under: Lepisosteus oculatus (spotted gar)
Lineage: Eukaryota; Metazoa; Chordata; Actinopteri; Semionotiformes; Lepisosteidae
Description: lncRNA (ENSLOCG00000021852.1)
Source: RNAcentral
GCCAGCUUCAAAGGUACCGUUUCAAACAACUUCAGCACAAAGAACUGAUACCACCCAUUCCUCAACUGACCCUUAUUUCAGACCGAACAGCUCUUACAGGUUGAUUCACUGUUGAAGGUGGGAGUGACUGCACCAGACACGCUCCCAACCGGCAGCCGGUAAACACACAGAAACCACCGGCGCCUUUUUAUCCCUGUGGAACACGCGCGCAGGCCAAGCCGGCAUCAUUGGCUGUCUGGGGGAGUUUUGGGGAGCGCUGGGGGGUACCGGACAGGAGACAGGAGGCUGUCGGAUCCGAGAGGGGGGCAGACCUGCAGAGGGCGGACAGGUGCGUGUGUUCAGACGGGGAGAGAACAACGCAGCUGGAGGACUUACUCCAGUGCUCCAGCCCCUCUGAGCCACCGCGCGUCCUCGACAAGGAGGUGGAGAGCCCAGGGCACCGGGCAGCUGUCCGGACUGAGGGCCCCGCAGGUCUCGGGGUCGCCCAGGACCC